UUCGAGUUGCUUCAAAUUCAUUCGAUCUUGAUCUGGAUUUGCUUGCUUCCUCUUCCUCUUGCUUGCAGAAACCAACUGAGAUGAAAAGGGGAAUGAAUUUUUGGAGUUUAAACUUCCAAAUAGAAGAUGAAGUUCAAGCUCGACUUCAAAAGAAAUCUUCAAAAAUUCUAUUGAAUGGAGGGUCUGGAUAGGUAUGGAAAAGCUUGGGCAAGCU
Molecule: long non-coding RNA, 214 nt
Filed under: Lathyrus oleraceus (garden pea)
Lineage: Eukaryota; Viridiplantae; Streptophyta; Magnoliopsida; Fabales; Fabaceae
Description: Pisum sativum (pea) long non-coding RNA (PSAT_LNC042283)
Source: RNAcentral